RNAcentral lists this ribosomal RNA (301 nucleotides) under uncultured bacterium. RNAcentral describes it as "partial 16S ribosomal RNA". It matches the Rfam family "Bacterial small subunit ribosomal RNA", at positions 509 to 807 of the family's 1533-position model. The record is from RNAcentral.
CAGUAGCCGCGGGAAUAUGUAGGGUGCAAGCGUUAAUCGUAAUUACUGGGCGUAAAGCGUGCGCAGGCGGUUAUAUAAGACAGAUGUGAAAUCCCCGGGCUCAACCUGGGAACUGCAUUUGUGACUGUAUAGCUAGAGUACGGCAGAGGGGGAUGGAAUUCCGCGUGUAGCAGUGAAAUGCGUAGAUAUGCGGAGGAACACCGAUGGCGAAGGCAAUCCCCUGGGCCUGUACUGACGCUCAUGCACGAAAGCGUGGGGAGCAAACAGGAUUAGAUACCCCUGUAGUCCCUGUCUCUUAUAC